RNAcentral lists this ribosomal RNA (458 nucleotides) under uncultured soil bacterium. Its description in RNAcentral is "bacterial SSU rRNA". It matches the Rfam family "Bacterial small subunit ribosomal RNA", at positions 26 to 518 of the family's 1533-position model. The record is from RNAcentral.
AGCCUGAACGCUGGCGGCGUGGCUAAGACAUGCAAGUCGCACGGGGUAGCAAUACCCAGUGGCGAACGGGAGAGUAAUGAAUCGCUAACGUACCCCGGACUCUGGGAUAGCUAUCCGAAAGGGUAGGUAAUACCAGAUCAUAUAACCGACAGGCAUCUGUUGGUUCUCAAAGGUCCGCCGGUCUGGGAGCGGGCGAUUCGUAUCAGCUAGUGUGAGGUAACGGCUCACCAAGGCGACGACGCGUAGCCGGACUGAGAGGUUGGCCGGCCUCAUUGGGACUGAGACACUGCCCAGACUCCUACGGGGGGCUGCAGUAACGAAUCUUCCGCAAUGCACGAAAGUGUGACGGAGCGACGCCGCGUGUGGGACGAAGCCCUUCGGGGUGUAAACCACUGUCAGGGUUACCAAGUUCUGAGGAGCCCCAGAGGAAGGCACGGCUAACUCUGUGCAGCAGCCGC